RNAcentral lists this long non-coding RNA (997 nucleotides) under Anas platyrhynchos platyrhynchos (common mallard). RNAcentral's name for it is "lncRNA (ENSAPLG00000029894.1)". The record is from RNAcentral. Lineage: Eukaryota; Metazoa; Chordata; Aves; Anseriformes; Anatidae.
UCCCUCCCAGUACCCCCCCAAUACCCUCCCAGUCCCUCCCAGUUCCCCCAGUACCCUCAGCUCCCUCUUGAGCCGUUCCGGGUUGCGCACUGGCACCAGUUCGUCCAGUCCCAGGACCAGCACCUGCGGGGGAGCAACUGGGAGGAAACUGGGGGCACUGGGAGGGACUGCGAGGGGGGGAGGGGGGACUGGGAAUGGGGACUGGGGGCACUGGGAGGGACUGGAGGGGGGUAACUGGGAGGGACUGGGCUGUACUGGGAGCACUGGGCUGUACUGGGAGCCUGUGGUGGCCAGUUGGGGGGGUGCCCUGGGUCAUACUGGUCUGUACUGGUUCCUACUGGUUUAUGCUGGUUCUUACUGGUUUAUACUGGUUCCUACUGGUUUAUACUGGUUCUUAUCGGUUUGUACUGGUCGAUACUGGUUGAUACUGGUCUGUACUGGUCCUUACUGGUUUAUACUGGUCCCUACUGGUUUAUACUGGUUCUUACUGGUUGGGUUUAUACUGGUUUUCUCUAUCUUACAUUAGUUUUUACUGGUUUAUACUGGCUUAUACUGGUUCUUAUCAGUUUGUACUGGUCGAUACUGGUCCCUACUGGUCCGUACUGGUCUGUACUGGUCCGUACUGGUCCGUACUGGUCUGUACUGGUUUAUACUGGUGCUCACCAUGGUGCCGUAGGCCCUGUCCAGCAGCUGCCCCAGGCGGCUCUCGGUGACCCCGGGCUCGGAGCUCAGCGCGAUCAGCGUCACACUGGGGGCGGGGCCACGUGGGGACACGCCCCCUCCGUGGCCACGCCCCCUUUAGCCCCGCCCACCCCACAAGCCCCUCCCCUCGCCCCUUUAGCCCCGCCCCUUUCCCCUUUAAGCCCCGCCCCUUUCAACCCAACUCCGCCUUUAGCCCCGCCCCUUGGCCCUUAAGCCCCGCCCCUUUUAGGCCCCGCCCCUUUAAGCCCCGCCCCUCCCCUCAAGCCCCGCCCAUUUAACCCCUUCCUCUCCCCUU